Molecule: unclassified non-coding RNA, 220 nt
Filed under: Hevea brasiliensis (rubber tree)
Lineage: Eukaryota; Viridiplantae; Streptophyta; Magnoliopsida; Malpighiales; Euphorbiaceae
Source: RNAcentral
CUGUACCAGAAAUUGGUAGUCCUGACAGAAUUAUGGCUCCCUACAUUAAUCCUCAAUCUGAGAUGACCAUGAGGGCCAUUGAAAAAUCGAAUUUAACAAGUCAGACAUCAAAUCUUUCUCAUCUCCCUCCACCACCAUCAGCAGGGCCACCUUUGCCUACGCCACCUCCGCCUCCUCCAUUCUCAACAAAGGAAAAUAAAACACCACCGCCACCUCCGCC